Molecule: small nuclear RNA, 193 nt
Organism: Neoarius graeffei (lesser salmon catfish)
Lineage: Eukaryota; Metazoa; Chordata; Actinopteri; Siluriformes; Ariidae
Product: U2 spliceosomal RNA
Exons: 1
Source: RefSeq, a predicted model, not a curated record
AUCCCAUUAUACUUAUAAAAGUAAUUAUUUAGGUGCUCCUCAAUGUAAGGAAAGUGAUUUAUCUGAUAUGUUCUCUAAAUGAGGACGUUAUAUUAAACAGAUUUUUAGAACGGGGAGCUGGAAUAAGGGCUUGCUCUUUCUGCUCCAUGCAUCAACCUGGUAUUGCAGUAUCUCCAGGAAUGGUGCCCUUGUU